GAUGAACGCUAGCUACAUGCUUAACACAUGCAAGUCGAGGGGAAACGCCAUCGCAAGCUUGCUUUUGAUGGGCGUCGACCGGCGCACGGGAGAGUAACGCGUAUCACACCUGCCCAUCACUUGGGAAUAACCUUGCGAAAGUAAGACUAAUAACCAAUGAUAUCCCCCUAAGUCAUUGGAAUGGGAUUAAAGAUUUAUCAGUUAUGGAUGGGGAUGCGUCUGAUUAGCUGGUUGGCUGGGUAACGGCCCACCAAGGCAACGAUCAGUAGGGGUUCUGAGAGGAAGGCCCCCUGCAUUUGAACUGAGGCACAGUCCACACUGCUACGGGAGGGAGCGGUGAGGAAUACUGUGGAAGGGGGCAUAGCCUGAAACAGCCAAGUAGCGUGCAGGAGGACGGCCCUAUGAGUUGUAAACUACUUUUAUAAGGGAAUAAAGUGGGUCACGUGUGACUUUUUGCAUGUACCUAAUGAAUAAGGAACGGCUAAUUCCGUG
RNAcentral lists this ribosomal RNA (492 nucleotides) under uncultured bacterium. Its description in RNAcentral is "partial 16S ribosomal RNA". It matches the Rfam family "Bacterial small subunit ribosomal RNA", at positions 28 to 507 of the family's 1533-position model. The record is from RNAcentral.